This 1792-nucleotide long non-coding RNA is filed under the name Manihot esculenta (cassava). RNAcentral's name for it is "long non-coding RNA (MESC_LNC000623)". Lineage: Eukaryota; Viridiplantae; Streptophyta; Magnoliopsida; Malpighiales; Euphorbiaceae. The record is from RNAcentral.
CUACUUUGAAUCUAUCUAUCUGUGUUAAGAUUUUACCCCCUUUGUUGCGUUAUUAUGUACCUUCUUUCUCCUUGUUAGGUCCAAUUAUGAGUUCUACUAUUUUGGUCCCCAAGCAGGGUUGUCCAUCUUCACCGGAUACAAGGACUCGAUAAAAGGUUGGACUGAGACCUUUAUAGUAGUUGAGCUGAAAGAGAGCUCGAGAAUCAACUGGGUUGUUGAUCUCUCUUGGGAGAAAUCUCUUAGGGCUGCAACGACUUUUCCAGGUUGACCUUGUUGGACCAAGUAUGUAUUCUUCGACUGACCUCUGUAAGGAAAAAGUAUAACAUCGAAAAGUGUAUGUUCAUGUUCAAUCUUUGGGACUGCUGAGAAACUGGUAUUGCUAUUGUUUUGUUUCUCUUUCUCGCUGCAUUUUCCUCUUAUUGCUUUGAGUUUUAACCGGAUUGGUAUUUUUCUUUUCAGCUUCUACAGCAUCCAUGGACACCACCAAGCUUUCAAAAAACUUUACCUUGUCUCGGGAAAAUAUGGAGGCGACUCUAGUGGUCUUUAAGGCCAAUAAUACGGUGGCCGACGUAACUCAGGAGGUCUUUCAGGCGGUGGACCCAAUAGCUAUGAACCGUUCUACUGCCCAUGCCCCUACUUUGGCGUUAAUGCCUGCAGCAGGGGGUUCUCAGUCUGCAGCCUCGAGGACAUCCGUUCUUGCCAAAGCACCGGUUCCAGCCAAAACUCUGACUGCUCUUAAACAGACUUCCAAUCUAGCCUAGUCAAUGGGCACUAUUUUGGAGCUGGAGAGUCAUAUUUUGCAGUUCCUAGUCAGAUAGGGUAGUUAGAGGCAUGGUCCUUACUAAGCUUGGCAAAGGGUUAAGCAACACGGGGGUUGAUUCAGUGGGGCAGUAGGGCUGGAGAAUGAGAACUGUGGUACUUCCUGAGUAGAGCCCAGAUCGGUUGGGGUAUUUCUGGUAUGAUUUUCAUUGUGAUUGGCCAUGUGGAUUUCAGUGGGUGUGAUGAGGAUGAGAACUUUGGUUGACGGUGCCAAUUGAUGUCCUAAAAUCCAAUAUAGGGUAGGCUCAAAAUGUAUUUUGGUAAGCUUGGUCUGGUUGGCUCAUACCUUCCUUCUUUUAUUCUUUUCUCUUUGAUCCUCUAGUGACGCAUAACCACCUUCCUAUGCCUGUACAUCCUGUCAUUAUUACGCGGGGUUGUACGUACAGAUGUACUGUGUCCUUUCCCAUCGUUAGAUGGCCAUUUAAUUUCCUCCAGCGUUAUGUUGAUACGGUCCUAGAUGUCUAGGAGUCUGUUGUCUCACUAAUCCAUUAAGUCGAUUAGGCUGGACCUCCUUCACUUAGAUUUGAUCCCUGCCUUGUCUAGUCUGUCCGAGCGAGGCCUAGGCUGCAUAUUGGAGGACAAACCUAUAUAUUGGAUUUUGAUGGGGUUACAGUUUGGCCUUCCAACAUGGGCUUAGUCAUAAUUUGGUAUCCAAGACCUAGUAGUUAUCACUAAUAUAAACCAGAUCUAAGGACAAUAACCCUUUCUUUGAAGCAUUGAUCUGAAAGGGACAACAAAAACUUUUUAUUUAACCAUACCCACCAGCAAGAGGAGAGAUCAAAUUCACCACGGGACAGGGAAAGAAAGUCGACCUCUCCACCCUAAAAGGAAUAAGGAAUGGCCAUACAUCAACGAUAGAGAAUAACAGACGAGACGAAGUUGUAGAUAUAAAAAUUAAAAAAAGAAAAGAAAAAAUUUCUCUCUAUCUUCCUCGAAGAUGAGAAAAUAGGAUAUUUUUAAACUCAAGUAAAAU